This is a long non-coding RNA of Daphnia magna, 1689 nucleotides long. RefSeq lists it as uncharacterized. The record is from RefSeq and is a predicted model, not a curated record. NCBI's taxonomy places the organism in Eukaryota, Metazoa, Arthropoda, Branchiopoda, Diplostraca, Daphniidae. The transcript is spliced from 4 exons.
AGUUCCGACAGGUCGUGUGUAAAGAUCCGUCACCACGAGAGCCAUGUCUUCAUCCACUCCAAAGCCUCGAGUCGUCCCAAUGUUACGAUCUCGAGUAUCCUGCAGCAACCUGAUUGGAUAAAAAUAAGGUAUUACGUAGAUAUGUACCGACCUGUGACUGCAAGGCGACGACAAAUCAUCGAGUCUUCCCAAUAUCGUGAUCCCUGGUAUCCUGGAGGGACUCUGGUGUUCCAAUAAGUUCUUUGCAGUACAUCCAAGCAGCCGUCGAAAUAUGCGGAAGUGAAGCAAUCCUUACUGUCGAAGUAAAAACGCAGCAAAAAUAUAAAAUAAAUACGGAUAAAGUGCAAAUUUCUUACCGACACCCGCGAUAAAUUUCCGGUUCACGAUAGAGAUUGUAACAAUCCCAGCAUAUUUCAGUGAAUUCGGCAUAAAUAUUCAUGUCGUAAACACCACCACAUUUGCUGAUCUCGGUAAAAGAGUGCUUCGAAAGCGGAUGCGGAAAGAUGGAAAGCCCUGAUGGAGGCUCGGCAGUACCAAGAGCUGCCAUAGCCAGGACCAGCAGUCCAACGGCGGUGAGUUGAUUUGAUAAUUUAAAAGUCAUCACAAUAUUUGGAUUUCAGAGCAACGUCGUACCUACGUUUCACAAAUAACAAAUAUUAGCUAUUCUUUAACCUUUUUUAAAGUCAAAUUUUAAGUAACCUGAUUCCGUUAAGAAACUCAGGUGGUAUUACCUUUUGUAAUUGUAAAUUGGAAGUACCUUUCUUCGCCAAGAUGCUCGAAACUUCUACGGUAAAACGAAACUCGAUAGCAGCUUUUAUAGUAGAGAUCCGCCUCUGUAAAAACUAGCGUCGUUGUACAAGAAAAUUGCCAUACUUAACAUAAGUUGCUUAUUUUAGAAUGCCCACCUAUUCUUUCGUUUUCAAUGGUGUACUUGAUUUGUCAAUUAUUAUAAUCUGGAAGAAAUUUAGUAUUUAGGAUGACCCUCCGUAGCCAUCUCAUCCUCGACUUCCUGCUGUUUACAAACGAAAAUCUAUUUGAAGACUAAGUGGGGGAUCUUACUUGAAAUAUAGCUUUGAGCCACAAAAAAAAGAAACAUCAUUUCAAAUCUUCAUAGACGACAAGUAGACUAAUUUAGUUGCUGACGAGCUUGAUGAACCCAAUUUAAAGUUCUUAACGAAACUGAUUUGCAAUUGUCUAUUCGUGUUACUAAACGUUGCUAAUAAUUGGUUGAUGGACGUUUUUCGCCAAAAACGCUCAAUACGCCUCCGUAAUAUUUACCCUUUCACGUUACCAAAAUACCGUGAUAUUUUUUUUUUUUUUUUUUUUUUUUGCACCUUGGUUUAAUAUUUGUUCUGUAUGCAGCCAUUGGUACGUUUACCAUAAAGACUGGUAUUAUGGAACACGCUCUCCAAUUCCACGAAGUAAUUAAAAUUUUACCUUGUCCAAAAAAGAGACAUUUUUUAAAUUCACCGGUUAUCUAGCACCCAUUUACUAUGGGUUUUUAUACUAACCUUUUGUGCCCGAAGUAAAGUACAGAAAUGUCCAGUAAGAUUCUGCUUAUUAUGGAUAAUAGGAAAAGUAAAGCCUGUGAUCUUGAUUCGACAUUGGAAUGAAAUGAAGUUUUCUUUCGUUCAGCGAAUUUUGAAGUCGAGCAUCAAUGCUUCGUUUUCUUCUUAUUAUUUUUUUAUU